RNAcentral lists this ribosomal RNA (253 nucleotides) under uncultured bacterium. Its description in RNAcentral is "partial 16S ribosomal RNA". It matches the Rfam family "Bacterial small subunit ribosomal RNA", at positions 524 to 776 of the family's 1533-position model. The record is from RNAcentral.
UACGGGGGGGGCAAGCGUUGUUCGGAAUUACUGGGCGUAAAGGGCGCGUAGGCGGUUGGAUAAGUCAGCUGUGAAAACCACGGGCUUAACUCGUGGCCUGCAGUUGAGACUGUCUGGCUUGAGUGUGGGAGAGGAGAGUGGAAUUCCUGGUGUAGCGGUGAAAUGCGUAGAUAUCAGGAGGAACACCGGUGGCGAAGGCGGGUCUCUGGGCAACAACUGACGCUGAGGAGCGAAAGCGUGGGGAGCGAACAGG